Molecule: ribosomal RNA, 460 nt
Filed under: uncultured bacterium
Lineage: Bacteria
Description: partial 16S ribosomal RNA
Rfam family: Bacterial small subunit ribosomal RNA
Source: RNAcentral
CCUACGGGAGGCAGCAGUGAGGAAUAUUGGUCAAUGGACGAGAGUCUGAACCAGCCAAGCAGCGUGAAGGAUGACGGCCCUGUGUGUUGUAAACUUCUUUUAUAAGGGAAUAAAACGAGGCACGUGUGCCUGUUUGCAUGUACCUUAUGAAUAAGGAUCGGCUAACUCCGUGCCAGCAGCCGCGGUAAUACGGAGGAUGCGAGCGUUAUCCGGAUUUAUUGGGUUUAAAGGGAGCGUAGGUGGGUUGUUAAGUCAGUUGUGAAAGUUCGCGGCUCAACCGUAAAACUGCAAUUGAUACUGGCAGUCUUGAGUACAGUAGAGGGAGGCGGAAUGCGAGGUGUAGCGGUGAAAUGCUUAGAUAUCACGAAGAACCCCGAUUGCGAAGGCAGCUUACUAAACUGUGACUGACACUGAGGCGCGAAAGCGUGGGUAUCAAACAGGAUUAGAUACCCCAGUAGUC